RNAcentral lists this ribosomal RNA (327 nucleotides) under Blastocystis sp. RNAcentral's name for it is "SSU rRNA". It matches the Rfam family "Eukaryotic small subunit ribosomal RNA", at positions 20 to 367 of the family's 1831-position model. The record is from RNAcentral. Lineage: Eukaryota; Bigyra; Opalinata; Blastocystidae.
GUAGUCAUACGCUCGUCUCAAAGAUUAAGCCAUGCAUGUGUAAGUAUAAAUAGUUAACUUUGAAACUGCGAAUGGCUCAUUAUAUCAGUUAUAGUUUAUUUGAUGAAAUGUACUAAUUGGAUAACCGUAGUAAUUCUAGAGCUAAUACAUGUAUAAAGUCUUGUAGACUGCAUUUAUUAGAAUGAAAACCAUAGGUUUCGGCCUAUUCGUGAGUAAUAAUAACUAAUCAUAUCGUAUGCUUAUGUAACGAUGUGUCUUUCAAGUUUCUGCCCUAUCAGCUUUCGAUGGUAGUGUAUUGGACUACCAUGGCGGUAACGGGUAACGAAG